Molecule: long non-coding RNA, 948 nt
Organism: Branchiostoma belcheri (Belcher's lancelet)
Lineage: Eukaryota; Metazoa; Chordata; Leptocardii; Amphioxiformes; Branchiostomatidae
Exons: 3
Source: RefSeq, a predicted model, not a curated record
UUUCAACCUAACAACCUGAAACAGACCAGAGCGGCAAAUGACCAACUGUCCCCACCCAGCACCAAGAAUAACCUGCCAACCCCUGUAUCCCUGUGUGAAAUGGAACCAUCCAGUGUUUACGAUUGCUGCCUGUUCUGAGCAGUCAUGUGAUGUUUUCUCACAUCUGUUCCCCAUCACCCUAAAGUGGGCCCAACUCAAUCCAGUCCGCAGUCUUUCUGACCAAUUACACAACUGCUUGUGUUCCACUUUUUAUGCCACCUUUCCCUGAGGGAAGCAACAUUGUGAGCACGAUACUGACCAAGGCUUACAGGAUGACCUGAAGGAUUUUCAGUCUUAGAAAUGUGUACAGAGUCCGGCUUGGAUAUCCAAAUUAAGGAUUGGAGCAGGGGGACUGAAGUAAAAAAGGGCCAUCCAAACAAACAUCACAUACCAGCAGCCUCCCCUAGCAUGACAACACCUCACUGACUGGGUCAUGCGACAUGGAACCUUAGGACAAGCUGUGGCAACUGAUUAUGUGGACUUCUCGGACCCAGCGAAGACCACCACGUGACUGGGGAUCCCAACAACGAAUGUAAAGAAUUCCCCCUAUAAAAAUAGUCCGGGUCAUGGUUUACUCACUAGCUGACUGUCUAAAUAAGUAAUUGCCAUCAGUUUCCUCAAGGGGGCUGAAAAUGUUUACUGGCCCAUCUCGAAUGGUCCUCCAGAGUCCCCUUUGGAAGUGUCCACAUCUUAAACUGUUGCUCAGUCGCAUAUUGAUACAUUUUGACAGAUCACGCUGGGUGGAACAUUCCACGGACCCCUCAUGGGGUAGAUAUGGGCAGACACCCAUCCAGGCAGGCGUCAUAUGGUGAUAUUAUAUCCAUGUUUGUAUACGUUUCGCAUUUCUUAUUGUCUAGUCAUAUCUAAAUAAAAGCUGCUCAUAAUUCUUCCCUGUUUGAAAUCCGAAAA